CAAGACAAACACUAAACAGCCUCUGCCCUGAAAGGACUUAAGACCUAUUUGGAUGGGGAAAAAAAGAGGAUGCUCAGUUUGGUUUCAUCUGCUACUGAGAGAGAAGACGUUCACAUAUCUUUUGUAAAAUAGCCUUACAGAAAAAGGAGGGAGACAGAACAGAGAGAUAAAGAGAGCUCUUGAUUGCAGAUGGGACCUUAAAUCAGCAAGAAGGUCUGCUUGGCCUCUUCACUUAAUGGAUAAUAGAAAUCAUCUAUUCCAUUUUCAGUCU
Molecule: long non-coding RNA, 271 nt
Filed under: Monodelphis domestica (gray short-tailed opossum)
Lineage: Eukaryota; Metazoa; Chordata; Mammalia; Didelphimorphia; Didelphidae
Description: lncRNA (ENSMODG00000051354.1)
Source: RNAcentral